This 631-nucleotide long non-coding RNA is filed under the name Coturnix japonica (Japanese quail). Its description in RNAcentral is "lncRNA (ENSCJPG00005004792.1)". Lineage: Eukaryota; Metazoa; Chordata; Aves; Galliformes; Phasianidae. The record is from RNAcentral.
AUGGGCCCCAUAGAUUUAAUCUAAUGGGCCCCAUAGAUCCAACCCCAAAUGGGCCCCAUAGAUCCAAUCUAAUGGACCCCAUAGAUCCAACCCCAAAUGGACCCCAUAGAUCCAAUCUAAUGGACCCCAUAGAUCCAACCCCAAAUGGACCCCAUAGAUCCAACCCCUAUGGGCCCCAUAGAUCCAACCCCAUGGGCCCCAUAGAUCCAAUCUAAUGGGCCCCAUAGAUCCAACCCCAUGGGGCCCCAUAGAUCCAACCCAAAUGGGCCCCAUAAGAUCAACCCUAAAUGCGACCCCAUAGAUCCAACCCCAGUGGGCCCAUAGAUCCAACCCCAUGACCCCAUAGAUCCAACCCCAAAUGACCGCCAUAGAUCCAACCCAUAGAUUCCACCCUUAUGGGCCCCAUAGAUGUCCAAUCUAAAUGUGACCCCAUAGAAUCCAACCCCAUAGAUCCAACCCUAUGGGCCCCAUAGAUCCAACCCCAUAGAUCCAACCCUAUGGGCCCCAUAGACACUCACCCCCCCCCCAACCCAUAUAGAUACUCACCCCACAGAUCAGACGCACGGAGCCCUAAAAAUAUUCACCCUACAGACCCCAUAGACCCCAAUAAAGAUGAGCCCCACACACCCCA